UGUGGGGCUUACCUGUCAGUUAUAGUAUGUUUGACUUAAUUUAGUGAUCCAGGCUAAUUCAAUCCCACGUCACCACGCCACUUCACAUCCCAUUCGUUCCUUCGCCCCCGCCUCUUCGAUCGCUCCCCGAUUCCCACCACUUCGAUCCCUGCCCCACCUCUUCGAACCCUCCCCCACAACCGCCGCUUCGAUCCCUCCUCCGCCUCUUCAAUCCUUCCUCCGCCUCUUCGAUCUCUCUCUACACUUCAUAUAUUAAAAGUUGAGUUCUUGCAGGCUUACGUGUCGAUCCCUCCUUCUCUUGCGCGCCCCUCUCCCCGCUUCUUUCCUCUGUCUCCCCGCAGGGCGCGGAGGUCCUGCAGAUCCGCGCCGAACUCUCUCAGAUCUCUUUCCGAUCUGCAAGGCUCUUCUUCUCCUCCUCCCCCUUGCCAUCACGCGAUCGAUCGGAGGAGCUCGCAGGCCCCCGCGCCCUCUCCCCAGCGCUCGCGCCCUGUUCGACGAAAUGCCGAGUAGAUUGCAGGGCUCUUCGCGGGCAUCGGAGAGGUGGGGCGCGAUGCUGGGAUGGUGCAUGGUUUAAAACAAAAGGAGAAAAAAAAGAGCCCUGGAAUCCGCAGGCUCCUCCUUUCUCCUUUCCUUCAGCAUGGUUAAGUGCAACGGUUUGAGGAGGGGCCUUUUCCAAUUUCAGAUUUGGGGUCCCAAAGAAUUCCAAACAAAAGUAAAUAGGGGGGGAAGAACUGUAGUUCGGUCCUGUGCAGUUUAUAGCAAUGUUUUGUUUGUUGUGGGUUACUUUGCUUGCACUUGAAUGUGAUAAGAAUUUGAACCUUCUAUUCCC
Long non-coding RNA from Ananas comosus (pineapple), 829 nucleotides. RefSeq lists it as uncharacterized. The transcript has 2 exons. The record is from RefSeq and is a predicted model, not a curated record. NCBI's taxonomy places the organism in Eukaryota, Viridiplantae, Streptophyta, Magnoliopsida, Poales, Bromeliaceae.